AAGACUAUACUUUCAGGGAUCAUUUCUAUAGUUUGUUACUAGAAAGAGAAUGAGAAUGAGCAGGGGAGGAGGCAGAGAGAGACAGAGAAUCUCAAGCAGA
Molecule: small nucleolar RNA, 100 nt
Filed under: Mustela putorius furo (domestic ferret)
Lineage: Eukaryota; Metazoa; Chordata; Mammalia; Carnivora; Mustelidae
Description: Small nucleolar RNA U3
Rfam family: Small nucleolar RNA U3
About the family: Small nucleolar RNAs (snoRNAs) are involved in the processing and modification of rRNA in the nucleolus. There are two main classes of snoRNAs: the box C/D class, and the box H/ACA class.
Source: Rfam by way of RNAcentral